AGCCUGGGUGACAGCGAAAGACCCUGUGUCAUAAAAAAAAAGAAAAAGAAAACAAAAGAAAGAAAUUAAUUUCAAGUACACCAGGAACAAUUGAGGCCAUCAUAUUCUGAAGCAGAGAUAAAAGAUUUGAGAUUAAAGAGAAAGUGCAAAUAAACUAGUGACAUUUUCCUGAAUCCUGGAUGCUGCUUUCACCCCCCAAAGCUAAUGUAUCUCCCUUUUUCACUUGAGAUAAUUUAAAUUGGGUUCUGUCACUUGCAAGAAAAAGCAUCUUGAUCAACUUAGCUACAGUUUUUGCAUCUACAAAAUCAAGGAGCUGAACUAAAUGAUUUCCAUGUUUUUUUCAUAUUUCAAGUUCUAAGAUUCUGACUUAAAAUGUCUGAUUUUUUACUAAGAAAUAGAUUUUUUUAAAAGCGAGGAAAGAGCAGGAGAAGCAGCCUGAAAGAAAAGGAAUGCAGAAGAGGGAGACAGGGUCACUCCUGGGACCAGUGAGAGCCAAAGACCAACUCUGCCUGCUGCAUGAUUUAGACAAGACUCCCGAUUUUAACUCAGGACUGUAAGAGUGCCCUGCAAAAGGACUCACGCCUCUAGUGAUCCCAGGUAAGGCCCACACAUAGGUUUCUCUGACAUGCUGUUGGAGUCAUGAUGACACAGUAGUUGAGGGCAUGGGCUUUAGAGGCUGCUGCCCCUGGAUUCAAUGAUUAUCAUUUUCAUCACAGCAUUUACUGAGCGUUUAUGACAUACCUGGAAAUAUCUCAAGACCCAGCCUCUUCACUUACUAGCUAUGUAACCUUAGGGAAGUGACUUAACUGCCACAAGCCUCUGCUUCCUCAUCUGUAAAAUGGGUGUCAUAAUAGUUUACUUCUCACAGGGAUGUUGUGAGGAUUCAAUGAGUCAAGAACAGUAUCUGGCACGGGCUCAAGCAUCAAGAACAGUAUCUGGCACGGGCUCUUCCUAAAAUGUUCCUCCUUGCCUUUUACACACAGCUCAAAUACCAAACAUCCACAAAACUUCCCCAAUUGUACUCCACCUCCUCUGUCUCCCCCGAGCACUUUGUUCCUGCCUGCUGGCUUUCUUUCUGCACACAUUAUUUAAGAGGUAGAAUGAUCAGGAUUUCUAGCUCUGUAUUUCAUUCACCUGCUCACAAAUCUAUCACCUGUGUGGCUCACCAUACCUUAUCUUUGGGUUCCUGAAGCGUUGGUCAAUGACAAACACACAGGAUCUCAACAAAUUUAAAUGGAUUGAGUAAAUAAUAUUCAGCCAUCUCUCAAGAUCAAAGCAGACAGUAUGAUCAGUAGUACGUGCCACACCUUUUGGUUUCACCACCUCAGUGAGCAUUAAGGAUUUUUGUCAGGCGAAACUGAUGUGUGAUUGUAAAGCUGCUCCUCACAUGAAACCACCAAUUGCUCAAGCUAAAAGUAACAAUUCCUCACAGCUGGCAGGCCAGCCCAUCUGCAACUGGCCGUGGAGCCUGUGUUAACGGGUGCGGUGCUGCUAGUUUGGAAGCUGACCAAAGAGACAGUAAACACAAAGGUUGCCUGGGUGCAUAAAUACAAAACGAGCUCCUCCUUGCCUCAUCCCCGAAACAGGCCAGUCACAGCAUCAGGGACUCCACAAGUGUCUACUUGUCAGCUCCUGUCAAGUGCAACGGCAAGGACCUACCACCCUCAAGCUGCAGAUAUUAAGGAUGAAAUUGCAGGAGCUGCGGUUUUAUAAGAAGCCAAACAUUGUGUGCAUUCAGAAAAAGAUAUUUUUCUAAGGCUGACCCGGCAGGUGGGAGGGAGAGUGAGGCAUCCUGAAGGCUGCAAGCCUGGCUGGCUGUGAUCCACGCAGGAGAUCUACACCUCAGAGCACUUCCUCCCACUGGGCAGUGGACCACUCGAGCAGCGGUUCUGAACACCUGAUCCCCAGACUCAUCGCAGCAGCAGCAUCUAGGAACAGGUUUUUGUGGAGAGACUGAGAAAAUCACUUCCUGGAGAAAUGAAGGCUGAAAGCCCUGGCAAAAAAGGAGAUGGUUCUCUAGAGACAGGCAGGAAAAAAGUUUCAGGAGGAGACAUGUCAGGUGCUGAUGCGAGAAGCAAAGGUACCAAUGUUGAUGGCACCUUCUUCCAGAUCGUAAAGGGCUUCUCCUUGGGUUCAAGCUUUCUGCAAAUGGCAGCAGCUGGGCAGGCUGCUAAGCAUAGAGGAGAGUUGCCCUCACCUGAUCCUGAGAACCAAGACUAAGUAACGCAUCCUGGAAAGGCCCAGGCCAAACAGAGGCCCUGUGGCGAGUUGCUCCAAGGGAAACCCAGGAACGGAGAAGGAAGGAGGAAGUUUGGGAAGCAGACCCAUGCUUUGACUGAAAGGUGAGCAACAAUAGAAGGAAGGGGAAUAAAAGCCUUCCGCUUUCGUCAUCCCUGCAAAGAAAAUGGAAUUCAUAAAUUUGAGACUCAAAUGUACUCUGCAAAAUUUUAAAAUUUGCAGCAUUUUGUUAUUUGGGGGCCGGUGUUAGACUGCAGAUAAACAUGUAGUUUAAUACAUACAUAUUAUAUCAGAUUACAUAUUGCUACAAUUAUUGGAGUUGCUUUGCUGUUUGCAAAAUGAGCCUUGUAGGAAACAAGUGUUUCCAAGUAAAUGAUGACUGAAAGAUUCUAUGAAGAAGAAAAAAAAUGUAACCAUAAGGUUUAAAUGCUUUAGAGGAAGUCAAGCUUGGAGGACAAGUUAUAUUUGUGUUUAGAAGCCAUGCUGGAUGCUACAAGUGUGCAUUAUGAAUGUGCACAGUAAACGGGAGGCAAAGGAGCCAGCAGGGCUAUGAGGAUGGGGGUGCUAUGGGGACAUAGUCAUAGACAGUUAAAGAGCAUAAAGAAUAUCGACAGAGUUCAAUGAAUAGAAUGGAGCUACCCUGGGAGAUAAAGAUACACAAUUAGGUUGAAGCACAACCAGAUAGGUGAUAUAUUAUGUUCUUUCUCAAGGUUGGCUUUUCUGUGCUGUUUAUCUCCCAAGAACACUUGAGUUGUUGCAAGCAAACUUUCUGGGUUUUUUUUUUUUGUGGAGAUGGAGUUUUGCUCUUGUCACCCAGGCUGCAGUGCAGUGGC
This 3071-nucleotide long non-coding RNA is filed under the name Homo sapiens (human). RNAcentral describes it as "HSALNT0302983". Lineage: Eukaryota; Metazoa; Chordata; Mammalia; Primates; Hominidae. The record is from RNAcentral.